RNAcentral lists this transfer RNA (84 nucleotides) under Acidobacteriota bacterium. RNAcentral describes it as "Acidobacteria bacterium (activated sludge metagenome) tRNA-Tyr". It matches the Rfam family "tRNA". Rfam says of the family: Transfer RNA (tRNA) molecules are approximately 80 nucleotides in length. Their secondary structure includes four short double-helical elements and three loops (D, anti-codon, and T loops). Further hydrogen bonds mediate the characteristic L-shaped molecular structure. tRNAs have two regions of fundamental functional importance: the anti-codon, which is responsible for specific mRNA codon recognition, and the 3' end, to which the tRNAs corresponding amino acid is attached (by aminoacyl-tRNA synthetases). tRNAs cope with the degeneracy of the genetic code in two manners: having more than one tRNA (with a specific anti-codon) for a particular amino acid; and 'wobble' base-pairing, i.e. permitting non-standard base-pairing at the 3rd anti-codon position. The record is from RNAcentral. RNAcentral also lists the same sequence under 1 other name. Lineage: Bacteria; Pseudomonadati; Acidobacteriota.
GCAGGGGUGGCCGAGCGGUUAAUGGCACCAGACUGUAAAUCUGGCACGCAACGCGUUACGAAGGUUCGAAUCCUUCCCCCUGCA